CUUCCCUCUGGCCUCUCAGAGCCUCUUGGAUCCCCACAGGGUAAUGGGUGUCCCCAUCUCACGGGGACUCUGUGAUCUGUGAUCCCCUGACCCUCCUAGAGCACAGCUUGGCCAGGCUCACCGGGCUCCCGCACCACUGCCUGUCAGGUCCGCCGCCAGCCCCAAGCCCCCCACCAGCCAUGAGCUCCUCCGGAAAGGACCACCUCGGCGCCAGCAGCUCAGAGCCCCUCCCAGUCAUCAUCGUGGGUAACGGCCCCUCUGGGAUCUGCCUGUCCUACCUGCUCUCCGGCUACACACCCUAUGUGAAGCCAGAUGCCAUCCACCCACACCCCCUGCUGCAGAGGAAGCUCACCGAGGCCCCGGGGGUCUCCAUCCU
Long non-coding RNA from Piliocolobus tephrosceles (Ugandan red Colobus), 376 nucleotides. RefSeq lists it as uncharacterized. The transcript has 3 exons. Lineage: Eukaryota; Metazoa; Chordata; Mammalia; Primates; Cercopithecidae. The record is from RefSeq and is a predicted model, not a curated record.